RNAcentral lists this ribosomal RNA (465 nucleotides) under uncultured bacterium. RNAcentral's name for it is "partial 16S ribosomal RNA". It matches the Rfam family "Bacterial small subunit ribosomal RNA", at positions 28 to 507 of the family's 1533-position model. The record is from RNAcentral.
GACGAACGCUGGCGGCGUGCUUAACACAUGCAAGUCGAACGGAAAGGCCCUGCUUGCAGGGUACUCGAGUGGCGAACGGGUGAGUAACACGUGGGUGAUCUGCCCUGCACUUCGGGAUAAGCAUGGGCAACUGGGUCUAAUAACGGCUAGGAGCCAUUUUUAGUGUGAUGGUUGGAAAGUUUUUUCGGUGUAGGAUGAGCUCGCGGCCUAUCAGCUUGUUGGUGGGGUAAUGGCCUACCAAGGCGGCGACGGGUAGCCGGCCUGAGAGGGUGGACGGCCACAUUGGGACUGAGAUACGGCCCAGACUCCUACGGGAGGCAGCAGUGGGGAAUAUUGCACAAUGGGCGCAAGCCUGAUGCAGCGACGCCGCGUGGGGGAUGACGGCCUUCGGGUUGUAAACUCCUUUCGCUAGGGACGAAGCUUUUUGUGACGGUACCUAGAUAAGAAGCACCGGCUAACUACGUG